CCUAGGGGGCAGCAGUGAGGAAUAUUGGUCAAUGGGCGUAAGCCUGAACCAGCCAAGUCGCGUGAGGGAUGAAGGUUCUAUGGAUCGUAAACCUCUUUUAUAUGGGAAUAAAGUGCGGGACGUGUCCCGUUUUGUAUGUACCUUAUGAAUAAGGAUCGGCUAACUCCGUGCCAGCAGCCGCGGUAAUACGGGGGAUCCGAGCGUUAUCCGGAUUUAUUGGGUUUAAAGGGUGCGUAGACGGAAUGCCAGGUCAGCGGUAAAAUCGCGGGGCUCAACCUCGAUCUGCCGUUGAAACUGGCGUUCUUGAGUAGGGGAGAAGUAGGCGGAAUGCGUGGUGUAGCGGUGAAAUGCAUAGAUAUCACGCAGAACUCCGAUUGCGAAGGCAGCAUACCAGAGCCCAACUGACGCUGAAGCACGAAAGCGUGGGUAUCGAACAGGAUUAGAUACCCGGGUAGUC
RNAcentral lists this ribosomal RNA (457 nucleotides) under uncultured bacterium. Its description in RNAcentral is "partial 16S ribosomal RNA". It matches the Rfam family "Bacterial small subunit ribosomal RNA", at positions 338 to 795 of the family's 1533-position model. The record is from RNAcentral.